UCGAUGAAGGACGGGACUAACACCGAUAUGCUUCGGGGAGCUGUAAGUAAGCUUUGAUCCGGAGAUUUCCGAAUGGGGAAACCCACCAUACGUAAUGGUAUGGUAUCCUUAUCUGAAUACAUAGGGUAAGGAGGACAGACCCAGGGAACUGAAACAUCUAAGUACCUGGAGGAAGAGAAAGCAAAUGCGAUUUCCUGAGUAGCGGCGAGCGAAACGGAACAUA
RNAcentral lists this ribosomal RNA (223 nucleotides) under Bacillus cytotoxicus. Its description in RNAcentral is "partial 23S ribosomal RNA". It matches the Rfam family "Bacterial large subunit ribosomal RNA", at positions 46 to 267 of the family's 2925-position model. Lineage: Bacteria; Bacillati; Bacillota; Bacilli; Caryophanales; Bacillaceae. The record is from RNAcentral.